UGGGGAAUAUUGCACAAUGGGCGAAAGCCUGAUGCAGCAACGCCGCGUGAGUGAUGAAGGCCUUCGGGUUAUAAAGCUCUGUCUUCUGGGACGAUAAUGACGGUACCAGAGGAGGAAGCCACGGCUAACUACGUGCCAGCAGCCGCGGUAAUACGUAGGUGGCAAGCGUUGUCCGGAUUUACUGGGCGUAAAGGAUGCGUAGGCGGAUACUUAAGUCAGAUGUGAAAAUCCCGGGCUUAACUUGGGAACUGCAUUUGAAACUGGGUAUCUAGAGUGCGGGAGAGGAAAGUGGAAUUCCUAGUGUAGCGGUGAAAUGCGUAGAGAUUAGGAAGAACACCAGUGGCGAAGGCGACUUUCUGGACCGUAACUGACGCUGAGGCAUGAAAGCGUGGGGAGCAAACA
This 402-nucleotide ribosomal RNA is filed under the name uncultured bacterium. RNAcentral's name for it is "bacterial SSU rRNA". It matches the Rfam family "Bacterial small subunit ribosomal RNA", at positions 355 to 774 of the family's 1533-position model. The record is from RNAcentral.